Molecule: ribosomal RNA, 467 nt
Filed under: uncultured bacterium
Lineage: Bacteria
Description: partial 16S ribosomal RNA
Rfam family: Bacterial small subunit ribosomal RNA
Source: RNAcentral
GACGAACGCUGGCGGCGUGCUUAACACAUGCAAGUCGAACGGAAAGGCCUCUUUCGGGGGGUACUCGAGUGGCGAACGGGUGAGUAACACGUGAGUAACCUGCCCUUGACUUUGGGAUAACUUCAGGAAACUGGGGCUAAUACCGGAUAGGAGCUCCUGCUGCAUGGUGGGGGUUGGAAAGUUUCGGCGGUUGGGGAUGGACUCGCGGCUUAUCAGCUUGUUGGUGGGGUAGUGGCUUACCAAGGCUUUGACGGGUAGCCGGCCUGAGAGGGUGACCGGCCACAUUGGGACUGAGAUACGGCCCAGACUCCUACGGGAGGCAGCAGUGGGGGAUAUUGCACAAUGGGUGGAAGCCUGAUGCAGCAACGCCGUGUGCGGGAUGACGGCCUUCGGGUUGUAAACCGCUUUCGCUCAUGACGAAGCUUUGUGUGACGGUAGUGGGUAAAGAAGCACCGGCUAACUACGUG